RNAcentral lists this ribosomal RNA (531 nucleotides) under uncultured bacterium. RNAcentral describes it as "bacterial SSU rRNA". It matches the Rfam family "Bacterial small subunit ribosomal RNA", at positions 979 to 1509 of the family's 1533-position model. The record is from RNAcentral.
CCUUGACAUACUAAGAACUUUCCAGAGAUGGAUUGGUGCCUUCGGGAACUUAGAUACAGGUGCUGCAUGGCUGUCGUCAGCUCGUGUCGUGAGAUGUUGGGUUAAGUCCCGNAACGAGCGCAACCCUUUUCCUUAUUUGCCAGCGGGUCAUGCCGGGAACUUUAAGGAUACUGCCAGUGACAAACUGGAGGAAGGCGGGGACGACGUCAAGUCAUCAUGGCCCUUACGGCCAGGGCUACACACGUGCUACAAUGGUCGGUACAAAGGGUUGCUACCUCGCGAGAGGAUGCUAAUCUCAAAAAGCCGAUCGUAGUCCGGAUCGCAGUCUGCAACUCGACUGCGUGAAGUCGGAAUCGCUAGUAAUCGCGGAUCAGAAUGCCGCGGUGAAUACGUUCCCGGGCCUUGUACACACCGCCCGUCACACCAUGGGAGUUUGUUGCACCAGAAGUAGGUAGUCUAACCGCAAGGAGGACGCUUACCACGGUGCGGCCGAUGACUGGGGUGAAGUCGUAACAAGGUAAGCGUAGAUGA